GGAGAGUCCCUGAGCCAACAGAGCCCUGAGCCUUUCAUUCCUGUGGAAGAAAAUGGCAAUCUUGGCUCAAGUCUUCCCUUUGCCCUACCAGAAGUGAACCUGCCCACAGAAGGCACAAAUUUGCCUCUGCUCUUCCAUGAUGUAAUUUUGACCGGUAAAGGCUACCAUACAGCACUGCUGAGAACUGACCAGUUCUGGGGUUCAGAUCUCAGGUCCAUUUGACAGAGACACCAAGCCACAUCCUCCAACUCAGCUCUAUCCAUAAUAUUGCUGUGGCCUCUGUCUUUAUUCUUUGAUUUACUUCCUGAAUUGUGCAGCACUGAGGUGGAAAAGACAGAAGGCUGCUUACUGGUCCUCAAUGGACUCAACAUUGUGAAUAAUUGAUUAAUGAAGGUAUGAAGGAAAGGAAAGGAAAUUUUACAAAGAAGGAGCAAACAGAAGAAAUGACUUCCCAUCCUCUCAUACCAAAAAGUAGGAGAGAAGCAUGUGCAUGGGAGACAGGAGUUGAAAGUGUUCACAGUUGAUAUUGUCUACUUUCUCUAUGCAGCUGGAAACAAAGCUAUUUGCUGAGAGUGAGAAUGUUAAAGAUUUGAAGCCUUGAAGAGGUUGAAACACUACUUGAGAGAAUGAGAGAGAGGGGAUCAAGGAUAAGUAAAUGUGAGGAAAGUCCCCUCAUUGCAAUAUGUUUACAACUAAAUUGCACUUGCCCCAAAAACAAAGCCAAGGGAAAAAAAUGUAGAAAAUGUAGGUAGAAAAUGGCUACAUAAUCAGCUUACAAUUUCAACUUCAAUUGACAAUCA
This 800-nucleotide long non-coding RNA is filed under the name Pan troglodytes (chimpanzee). RNAcentral describes it as "long non-coding RNA NONPTRT016625". The record is from RNAcentral. Lineage: Eukaryota; Metazoa; Chordata; Mammalia; Primates; Hominidae.